This 280-nucleotide ribosomal RNA is filed under the name uncultured Pseudomonas sp. RNAcentral's name for it is "partial 16S ribosomal RNA". It matches the Rfam family "Bacterial small subunit ribosomal RNA", at positions 1101 to 1382 of the family's 1533-position model. Lineage: Bacteria; Pseudomonadati; Pseudomonadota; Gammaproteobacteria; Pseudomonadales; Pseudomonadaceae. The record is from RNAcentral.
AACCCUGUCCUAGUUACCAGCACGUAUGGUGGCGACUCUAAGGAGACUGCCGGUGACAAACCGGAGGAAGGUGGGGAUGACGUCAAGUCAUCAUGGCCCUUACGGCCUGGGCUACACACGUGCUACAAUGGUCGGUACAAAGGGUUGCCAAGCCGCGAGGUGGAGCUAAUCCCAUAAAACCGAUCGUAGUCCGGAUCGCAGUCUGCAACUCGACUGCGUGAAGUCGGAAUCGCUAGUAAUCGUGAAUCAGAAUGUCACGGUGAAUACGUUCCCGGGCCUU